AAGGGUGUAGUUCAACAGGUAGAAUAGCGCAUUCCAAAUGCGUUGGUUGCAAGUUCAAGUCUUGCCGCCCUUGA
Molecule: transfer RNA, 74 nt
Filed under: Ulva sp. TM637
Lineage: Eukaryota; Viridiplantae; Chlorophyta; Ulvophyceae; Ulvales; Ulvaceae
Also listed under: 2 other names
Description: tRNA-Trp
Rfam family: tRNA
About the family: Transfer RNA (tRNA) molecules are approximately 80 nucleotides in length. Their secondary structure includes four short double-helical elements and three loops (D, anti-codon, and T loops).
Source: RNAcentral